RNAcentral lists this ribosomal RNA (397 nucleotides) under uncultured bacterium. RNAcentral's name for it is "partial 16S ribosomal RNA". It matches the Rfam family "Bacterial small subunit ribosomal RNA", at positions 523 to 918 of the family's 1533-position model. The record is from RNAcentral.
AUACGUAGGGGGCGAGCGUUGUCCGGAAUGAUUGGGCGUAAAGGGCGCGUAGGCGGCCCGGUAAGUCUGGAGUGAAAGUCCUGUUUUUAAGAUGGGAAUUGCUUUGGAUACUGUCGGGCUUGAGUGCAGGAGAGGUAAGUGGAAUUCCCAGUGUAGCGGUGAAAUGCGUAGAGAUUGGGAGGAACACCAGUGGCGAAGGCGACUUACUGGACUGUAACUGACGCUGAGGCGCGAAAGUGUGGGGAGCAAACAGGAUUAGGUACCCUGGUAGUCCACACUGUAAACGAUGAAUGCUAGGUGUAGGGGGUAUCGACCCCUUCUGUGCCGCAGUCAACACAAUAAGCAUUCCGCCUGGGGAGUACGGCCGCAAGGUUGAAACUCAAAGGAAUUGACGGGG